UACGGAGGGUGCAAGCGUUGUCCGGAAUCACUGGGCGUAAAGGGCGCGUAGGCGGCUCACUAAGUCACUUGUGAAAUCCUGGGGCUCAACUCCAGGGCUGCAGGUGAGACUGGAGGGCUGGAGCUCGGUAGAGGCGAGUGGAAUUCCCGGUGUAGCGGUGGAAUGCGUAGAUAUCGGGAAGAACACCGGUGGCGAAGGCGGCUCGCUGGACCGAUGCUGACGCUGAGGCGCGAAAGCGUGGGGAGCAAACAGG
This 253-nucleotide ribosomal RNA is filed under the name uncultured bacterium. RNAcentral's name for it is "partial 16S ribosomal RNA". It matches the Rfam family "Bacterial small subunit ribosomal RNA", at positions 524 to 776 of the family's 1533-position model. The record is from RNAcentral.